Molecule: long non-coding RNA, 703 nt
Filed under: Homo sapiens (human)
Lineage: Eukaryota; Metazoa; Chordata; Mammalia; Primates; Hominidae
Description: HSALNT0238251
Source: RNAcentral
AGAAGGGGUCAUUCUCCCUGGAGAUGUGGUCACGUCAUUAACCACACUGGGUUAGAAUCAUCAGAAGCUGUUCCUGCCUCUUCCGUCAAGCAAGGGGCUCUGGAGGCCAGAAAAUGCCUAUGAAUCAUGCCCACACCCCCAGAGCCCAGCAUGGGGCGGGCUCAGGUUAGGUCAAUCGUGUUUGAAGACUGAAUAAAUGAAUGUCUUCAUUUGCUACCCUCAGAAGCCCAGUCCGGAAAAAUAUUCCAGUGCAAGGUUUUUGGCUUGAAUGAGAUCCCAAGAAUCACCUUCAGGUUGUCAGGAAAAUGAUACAGGGAAGGGAAGGAGCCAACAAAGGGUAUGGGAAUGAGCACAUAACACUAUGGACAGCUGGGGAACCUUGGGCGAUGAUGCAGAACUGUUUAUCACUAACUCUCACCAGGUCAGUUGUGCAUCAAGGCUACUCGGGGGAUAGCACUUUACAGCCUACUCUAGCACCACGGUGGCCUUCUGGGGCAGGGGCCAGCAGGCUGCAGCUGCUGGAUGAAGCCCCCAGGCAGAGUCGCUGGUCCUCAGGUGCUCAAGCUUAGCUGGAAGCCUUCAGGUUGCUGUGCAAUGGAAUACUGCCUGGCCUACUGGGUGUGGCCGCCAGUUAUCGGACCCCGCACCCUCCACCUACCUUUCCCCAGGUUUGCGCGGGGCCUGCCGGCCUGCCCGCCCGCCC